UACGGGGGGGGCAAGCGUUGUUCGGAAUUACUGGGCGUAAAGGGCUCGUAGGUGGCCAACUAAGUCGGACGUGAAAUCCCUCGGCUUAACCGGGGAACUGCGUCUGAUACUGGAUGGCUUGAGAUUGGGAGAGGGAUGCGGAAUUCCAGGUGUAGCGGUGAAAUGCGUAGAUAUCUGGAGGAACACCGGUGGCGAAGGCGGCAUCCUGGACCAACACUGACACUGAGGAGCGAAAGCCAGGGGAGCAAACGGG
This 253-nucleotide ribosomal RNA is filed under the name uncultured bacterium. RNAcentral describes it as "partial 16S ribosomal RNA". It matches the Rfam family "Bacterial small subunit ribosomal RNA", at positions 524 to 776 of the family's 1533-position model. The record is from RNAcentral.